UGCCGGCUAGGCAGUCGCGGGAGGUCGGGGAGAAAACCGGCCCUCGAGGAAAGUCCGGACACCGCAGGGCAAGGUGGUCGGUAACGCCGACCCGGGGAAACCCGCGGGAAAGUGCCACAGAAACACACCGCCUAAGCGGGAGGUCGCAGCUGAACCUCUCGCCGGCAAGGGUGAAAUGGUGCGGUAAGAGCGCACCGGCGGCGCGGUGACGCGCCGGCCAGGCAAACCCCACCCGGUGCAAGGCCAAGCAGGGACGAUGACGCUGCCCGCCGAGUCCCAGGUAGGCCGCAGGGCCGCGAGGCCCGCCCGGCAACGGGCAGAUGGAUGACUGUCCACGACUGAAUCCGGCUUACCGGCCGGCUAAGGGA
This 368-nucleotide RNase P RNA is filed under the name Actinomycetes bacterium. RNAcentral describes it as "Actinobacteria bacterium RNase P RNA component class A". It matches the Rfam family "Bacterial RNase P class A". Rfam says of the family: Ribonuclease P (RNase P) is a ubiquitous endoribonuclease, found in archaea, bacteria and eukarya as well as chloroplasts and mitochondria. Lineage: Bacteria; Bacillati; Actinomycetota; Actinomycetes. The record is from RNAcentral.